ACGUACACUCCUACGGGAGGCAGCAGUGGGGAAUAUUGCACAAUGGGCGCAAGCCUGAUGCAGCCAUGCCGCGUGUAUGAAGAAGGCCUUCGGGUUGUAAAGUACUUUCAGCGGGGAGGAAGGCGAUAAGGUUAAUAACCUUGUUGAUUGACGUUACCCGCAGAAGAAGCACCGGCUAACUCCGUGCCAGCAGCCGCGGUAAUACGGAGGGUGCAAGCGUUAAUCGGAAUUACUGGGCGUAAAGCGCACGCAGGCGGUCUGUCAAGUCGGAUGUGAAAUCCCCGGGCUCAACCUGGGAACUGCAUUCGAAACUGGCAGGCUAGAGUCUUGUAGAGGGGGGUAGAAUUCCAGGUGUAGAGGUGAAAUGCGUAGAGAUCUGGAGGAAUACCGGUGGCGAAGGCGGCCCCCUGGACAAAGACUGACGCUCAGGUGCGAAAGCGUGGGGAGCAAACAGGAUUAGAUACCCCUGUAGUCCCAUGAU
RNAcentral lists this ribosomal RNA (481 nucleotides) under uncultured organism. RNAcentral's name for it is "partial 16S ribosomal RNA". It matches the Rfam family "Bacterial small subunit ribosomal RNA", at positions 329 to 801 of the family's 1533-position model. The record is from RNAcentral.